UGCCGGGUCGUCUAAUGGUAGGACUGGAGCCUUUGAAGCUCUCUAUCUUGGUUCGAAUCCAAGCCCGGCAA
This 71-nucleotide transfer RNA is filed under the name bacterium. RNAcentral's name for it is "tRNA-Gln". It matches the Rfam family "tRNA". From Rfam's summary of the family: Transfer RNA (tRNA) molecules are approximately 80 nucleotides in length. Their secondary structure includes four short double-helical elements and three loops (D, anti-codon, and T loops). The record is from RNAcentral.